This 87-nucleotide ribosomal RNA is filed under the name Caerostris darwini. Lineage: Eukaryota; Metazoa; Arthropoda; Arachnida; Araneae; Araneidae. The record is from RNAcentral.
UCAUUCUCGUUAGAUCACUGAAGUCAAGCCUCAUUGGGCGCGGUCAGUACUUGGGUGAGUGAUCACCUGGGAACACCGCGUGCCGUU